GAUCAUGGCUCAGGAUGAACGCUGGCGGCGUGCUUAACACAUGCAAGUCGAACGAUUGAAGCUGGAGCUUGCUCCGGCCGAUUUAGUGGCGGACGGGUGAGUAACGCGUGGGUAACCUGCCUCAUACAGGGGGAUAGCAGUUGGAAACGACUGGUAAAACCGCAUAAGCGUACGGUAUCGCAUGAUACAGUGUGAAAACACUCCGGUGGUAUGAGAUGGACCCGCGUCUGAUUAG
This 235-nucleotide ribosomal RNA is filed under the name uncultured bacterium. RNAcentral's name for it is "partial 16S ribosomal RNA". It matches the Rfam family "Bacterial small subunit ribosomal RNA", at positions 15 to 244 of the family's 1533-position model. The record is from RNAcentral.